This 255-nucleotide ribosomal RNA is filed under the name uncultured bacterium. Its description in RNAcentral is "partial 16S ribosomal RNA". It matches the Rfam family "Bacterial small subunit ribosomal RNA", at positions 524 to 776 of the family's 1533-position model. The record is from RNAcentral.
UACGUAGGGUGCAAGCGUUAAUCGGAAUUACUGGGCGUAAAGCGUGCGUAGGCGGUUGCGCAAGACAGGUGUGAAAUCCCCGGGCUUAACCUGGGAACUGCGUUUCUAACUGGCAGGCUUGAGUGUGGCAGAGGGGGGGUGGAAUUCCACGUGUAGCAGUGAAAUGCGUAGAGAUGUGGAGGAACACCGAUGGCGAAGGCAGCCCCCUGGGCUAACACUGACGCCUCAUGCACGAAAGCGUGGGGAGCAAACAGG